Molecule: ribosomal RNA, 420 nt
Filed under: uncultured archaeon
Lineage: Archaea
Description: partial 16S ribosomal RNA
Rfam family: Archaeal small subunit ribosomal RNA
Source: RNAcentral
CUACGGGUGGCUCCAGUCGAGAAUCUUUUGCAAUGCGCGAAAGCGUGACAGAGCGAGCCAGAGUGUUGUUCAUAGAACAACUUUUGCUAAGUCUAAAAAGCUUGGCGAAUAAGGACUGGGUAAGACGAGUGCCAGCCGCCGCGGUAAUACUCGCGGUCCAAGUCGCAGCCAUUAUUAUUGGGUCUAAAACAUCCGUAGCUUGCUUAAUAAGUUUCUUGUGAAAUCCUAUAUCUUAAGUAUAGGGCGCGCGAGAAGUACUAUUGAGCUAGAGACUGGAAGACGUAAGGAGUACGAUAGAGGUAGUGGUAAAAUACGUUAAUCUUUGUCGGACUAACAACAGCAAAGGCACCUUACGAGGACAGUUCUGACAGUAAGGGAUGAAGGCUAGGGGCGCAAAACGGAUUAGAUACCCUCGUAGUC